CAGUGUGCUUCUAGCGUGUGGAGAGGAAGGGUGCGGUCGUCGUUUUGUGUGACAAGCCUAUUAAAGCUCUGUUAGAAUGGAGUGAAUCUGAGAAAAUUAUCGGUUUACCAGGUACUUUUAGAAGCCCUUCAUCAUGGAUAAGAUACGCGUGGCCGUGAGGGUGCGGCCCUUCAACAGGCGAGAGAAGGAGCUGGGCAGCAAGAGCAUCGUCACCAUGAGUGGCAUGCAGACCAUCCUGCACCACCCCACAGCCCUCGACAAGCCUGACAGUCGGAAGCAACCCAAGAGCUUUGCAUUUGAUCACUGCUUCGAUUCCCUAUCCAGCGAGAGCCCUUCCUUCGCCUCGCAGGAGACGGUGUUCACGGCCAUGGGGGAGGACAUCCUUAACAAUGCCUUCACCGGGUACAACGCCUGCAUCUUCGCCUACGGGCAGACUGGCUCGGGCAAGUCGUACACCAUGAUGGGCGCGGCGGACCAGAAAGGCCUCAUCCCGCGGCUCUGUGACACCUUGUUCGAGAGGAUAGCAGCCAACACCUCGCCGCACUCCGUCAGCCAUAAGGUGGAGGUGUCCUACAUGGAGAUCUACAAUGAGAAGGUUCAUGACUUGUUGGACCCCAAGGGCUCGCGACAGACGCUGCGGGUGAGGGAACACAACAUUCUGGGACCCUACGUGGACGGCCUCUCUCUACUGGCUGUGUCCUCCUACGAAGAGAUCGAGCAGCUCAUCGAGGAGGGCAACAAGGCGCGUACCGUGGCGGCCACCAACAUGAACAGCGAGUCCUCCAGGUCCCACGCGGUGUUCACGGUCAUCCUCACCCAGACCGUGACAGACGUGGCGUCGGGUGUGUCAGGAGAGAAGGUAUCCAAAAUGUCCCUGGUUGACUUGGCGGGGUCAGAGAGGGCAGUGAAGACUGGGGCCGUGGGCGAGCGGCUCAAGGAAGGCUCAAACAUCAACAGAUCCCUCACAACCUUGGGACUUGUCAUCUCCAAGCUGGCUGAUCAGGCUGUGGGGAAGGCAAGGAGCAAAGGUGACAACUUUGUCCCCUACCGAGACUCUGUCCUCACCUGGCUGCUCAAGGACAACCUUGGAGGCAACAGUCGAACAGUCAUGGUAGCCACUGUCUCUCCAGCUGGUGAUAACUUUGAAGAAACGCUUUCAACGCUAAGAUAUGCUGACCGGGCAAAGAGAAUUGUUAACCACGCUGUUGUCAAUGAAGAUCCCAAUGCCAAAAUCAUUCGUGAACUACGUGAAGAGGUUGAAACCUUAAGAACACAAUUACUGAGUUUGCGUCAGAUGACACGAGAUGGUCCAGCAUCCUUACAGGAAGAGGAAAGCCUCAAUGAAAAACUCCAUGAAAGUGAAAAGCUUAUUACAAAUCUUUCUGAAACUUGGGAAAACAAACUCAAAAAGACAGAGCGCGUCCAGCAGGAAAGGCAGCAGGCACUGGAGAAAAUGGGCAUCAGUGUGCAGGCAUCUGGUAUUAGUGUGGAGAAAAAUAAAUAUUAUUUGGUGAACUUGAAUGCAGAUCCAUCACUCAAUGAGAUGCUUGUUUAUUAUCUCAAGGAACGUACGCUGGUAGGGCGUCCUGAUGCAGGCAGUGAACCCAAUGACAUCCAGCUGUCUGGAGUGGGCAUUGAGACACACCACAGCGUUCUUUGCAUCGAGAAUGGUGACCUGUUUAUUGAGCCUUAUCCUAAUGCUCGUACGUGUGUCAAUGGGUCACAGGUCACAGAGAAGGUGCAGCUUCGGCACGGGGACAGAAUAUUGUGGGGAUUCAAUUACUUCUUCCGUGUCAACUGUCCAAAGACCAGUGUUGGAGGCAACAACUCAGAACCACAGACACCUGCACAGCCCAUUGACUACAACUUUGCCCGGGAGGAGCUGAUGCUGAAGGAGCUGAGUAAUGAUCCAAUCCAGGCAGCCAUUCAGAACCUGGAGCGGCAGCAUGAGGAAGACAAACAGAUGGCCCUUGAAAAGCAGAGACAAGAAUAUGAAAAGCAAUUCCAGCAGUUAAGGAACAUUUUGUCUCCAACAACUCCCUAUGCUCCUUACAUGCCCUUCGACCCACUAAGAGGCACCAAAAUGACCCCGUCCACACCCACCUCUCAGCUCAGGAUAGAGAGGUGGGCCCAGGAGAGAGAGGACAUGCUCGAGCACAGUUCCAUUUUGUACCCUGGCAGAGAGGAUACAUUUCGCCGCAGUCUGGCCCAGCUCAGGCAGGACAUCAUGAAGGCCAACACCUUGGUGAGGGAAGCCAACAUUUUUGCUGAUGAAAUGGGAAAACAGACAACCUUUGGUGUUACCCUGCAGAUUCCCCCACAGAAUUUGUCUCCAAACCGCAAGAGGUCUGCAUUUGUUAGUGAGCCAGCCAUUCUAGUCAAGAGGAAAGGAAAACCUAAUCAGGUCUGGUCCAUGGAGAAACUGGAGCACAAAUUGAUUGUCAUGCGAGAAAUGUAUGAUGAGCAACAUAACAACCCACUUGCUGAGUGUUCAGCAGCAGAUCCUUUCUAUGAGAGCCAAGAGAAUCACAACUUGAUAGGAGUUGCCAACAUCUUCCUGGACUGUUUGUUUCAUGAUGUUCGGCUAAACUACCACGUACCAAUUAUAUCACAGCAAGGGGAAGUAGCAGGAAGGUUACAGGUUGAAAUCUGUCGUACUGCUGGUCAAUUUCCUCAGGAGAGAUUUGCAGACACAUUUUCUGAUUCUUCUAGUGACUCCGCUCAGAGCAGAGAGGAGGAUGAAGUUCAGAACAGUGCAGUGACUGUAAGGGUGUCUAUCAAGCAAGCAGCUGGUCUUCCUCCUUCCUUGUCCCACUUUGUUUUCUGUCAGUACCAGUUCUGGGGUCAGACUGAGGGAGAGGUUGUUGCUCCAGUUGUCAAUAAUGAAUUUCCAGCAGCUCCAACAUCAAAAGAUUCCAUCACAUUUAAGUUUGAACAUACAAAAGACUACACAGUGCUUAUUACUGAAGAUUUUCUUGAGCACUGUGCUGAUGGCGCACUCUCCAUUGAGGUUUGGGGGCACCGAUCAGCUGGGUUUGGUGUAGCUCGAACAGGUUGGGAAGUAGACCAGCAGUUGGCAAAAGCAAGGUCGUUAGUUGACAGAUGGAGUGAGUUGACCCGCAAGAUAGAAAUGUGGGUGGAGAUCCAAGAGCUGGGAGAAUGUGGGGACUAUGUGUCAGUUGAGGUGUCUCCCCAGAAGGAUGUGAUGACAGGAGGGGUGUACCAGCUGAGACAAGGACAGCAGAGGAGGAUUGUAUGCAGAGUGAAGCCUGUGUCAAAUUCAGGAACCUUGCCCCUCAUUUGUGAAGCCAUUACUAACAUCAGUAUUGGGUCAGUAUGUGGACGUUUGAGAUGUCAGAGGCAGCUGGAUUCUUACACUGAAGAAGAUCUCAAUGUCCUGCGGGAGAGGUGGAGUGAGGCACUCAAAAGGAGAAGGAUGUAUCUAGACCAACAGAUUCAAAAAAUAAUAAACAAAGGAGACAAGAAUGAAUGUGAUACAGAGCGAGAACAGUCAUUGGUGGACCAGUGGGUCAGCCUUACGGAGGAGCGGAAUGCUGUGCUGGUACCUGCUGCUGGGUCCAGUAUUCCUGGAGCACCAGCUGACUGGGAUCCUCCAUCAGGAAUGGAAGCUCAUGUUCCAGUUCUAUUCUUGGAUCUCAAUGCUGAUGAUUUUUCGACACAAGGAUACAGUGGUGACAGCUUCACCUUGGCUGGAAAUAAUGCAAUAAUACCUAAGGAAAACUGCAAUAAGUUCUUCCAGUUGCCCAUUGUAAAGUGCUAUGAGAAGGAUGUUUGUGCAGUGGCUUCUUGGGACUCCUCCAUCCACGACAACAUGUACCUCAACAGACUCACUCCAAGUGAUGAGAGAGUCUACCUCAUUGUGAAAGCUGUGGUCAGAUUGUCUCAUCCAGCAGCAAUGGAUCUUGUCCUGAGGAAACGACUUGCUGUCAAUAUAUAUAAAAAACAGUCACUAACAAGCAAAUUUGUAAAAUCAAUAAUUGGCUCAGUGAACACUUUAUAUGAAACAGGAAUUAUGUAUGAAGUAGUGUCAAAUAUUCCUAAGGCAAGUGAGGAGUUGGAAGAACGAGAGUCCCUUGCUCAAAUGGCAGCGAAUGCUGAUGAUUCUCAUGCAGAAGAUGGAGAAACAUAUAUAGAAAAAUAUACCAAAGGAGUUACAUCAGUAGAGUCCAUCUUGAUGCUUGAUAGAUUACGUCAGAAUGUUGCUGUUAAAGAGUUGCUUCAGUCUGCUGGCCGUCCCCUCAUGAGGAAGACUGCAUCCGUCCCUAACUUUUCUCAUGAAGUUGGUUGUGAUAGAGAGACAGGAUUAGCUAAGGCUGCACCACCUCCCCGGGGACGGCAGGAAGAGGGAGGUUUGAUCUUGCAGCUCCAGAAACGCUUGAGGACUAACCUAGAGCUGUUUGGCAGUCACGAGGCCCUUGAUGGAGUGACCAGGUCAGGCAGUGUAAUGGACCUCAAUGCUCAACUGUCCACAUCAUCACAGAAUAACCUGGACAAGAGCAAGCACCGGUAUUCCUUGCCAGGCCCCAGUGAGCGGCCGUUUGGCUUGUGGCUCAAAAAUGCUCGACCUACGUUCCUCAAUUUGAACCUCAACCUCAACUCAAUAAGACUUCAGGGAUCAACUCCUGCCAAGUCCGUCACUUCAGCCUCUCCAAGCCCUGGGCCAAUGAAAAUGACUCCCAGAAUGACAACACUGCAUGAGGAGAACACAAGAGAGGCGGCACCACUGCUGCACAUGGAGGUGGAAGAGGAGGAGGAUGAAGAGGAUGAACAUUCUGAAUUUGACCAGGAGGAACAAGAGAAUGGAGGAGUCAUAUCCAGAAGAACCAAUGGGGAGGAGGAAUUCAAUGAGUUUGCAUCAUAUCGGAGCAGUGGCCUUGCUGGCGGCAGACUGCAGCUUACACAGAGUCGAACAUUAGAUUCAUUGAACGAAGUUGCUGCCACCAAAGCAGGUACCCCGUCUACAGUAUCAAGUGGCUAUGGAUCUGGUGCAGUUUCAUCAACCACUUUAAGUGAAGAUUCUCUGUCAAUGAGAAGUGUCAGUGUUGAUGAGACUCCAGAUAAAGAUAUUCCAGCCAGUCAUGCCACCAUGGAUAUAUCAACCAUAAGCUCAGGUGAAAGCGACUCCAGUGAUACAAAAACCGUCAUUAAUCAGCAGUUGGAAGGCUUCAACUCCAUAGAGUCAGCAAACACUACUAACCCCAGCUCUGUUACUGGAAAGUCAGAGAAUGAGUUAAAAAUUGUUGAAGAUGAAGAGAAAGAAAACCACAUCACUGAUGUGCCGGAAUCCACCACCAAUAGUACUACUAAAUCUCUCUCCACGUCUGCAACAAAUUCAUUACCAGAAUCAGAGAGUCCACUUUCUCCUCUCUCCUCCUCCUCUUCCACCUCAUCACUGACGAUGGCUGUUGGUUCAGACGUUGUCAUGAGGCGUAGUGGUACCAGCAGAAAGAACCCCAGUCAUCGCAUGUCCUUCCCACUGGCUCAGUCUCAGGUGGCUAUGGCUGACUCACACAUCAUGAAUGGGACCUCACCUGCAUCUUCAUCUGAGUGUGUUGCAGAUUUUGACAAAACCUCCAACAGCAAGCCUCUAGCACCACUGCCAGACUGGUGUGAAGUUGGGGAAAGUAUUCAGAUCAGGCCAUACAACUACUCAGGAGUUGUUGCUUAUGUUGGUCACACAGAGUUUGCUCCAGGAACAUGGAUUGGAGUGGAGCUGGAUGUUCCUAUGGGCAAAAAUGAUGGCUCGGUGAAUGGGGUGCGGUACUUUGCCUGUCGUCCCAAGUGUGGCAUGUUUGUCAAGCCUGAGAAGCUGUUGCUGGAUCGGCGGGGGCGAGCCAUGCGGGCUGCACGAACCAACGGCAAUGAGCCCAGCUUAGGGGACAUGAAACGAUCUCGAUCCACAGCAGAAAAGCUCAGUGAUGUGGGCAUAAGAAGAAGCACUAGUAAAAGUGAAGGAUUGAAUAACAUGAGAAGGUCCAAGAGUCGCGCUGAAGGCCUCUCAUCUAUAUCUGAUCGCUCAAAGGCAACUACUACUCGUAAUAGGAAAUAGAAAGGAGACAUUCACAGUGUUGUCCAAAGUACCAAGGCUGCUAUAUACAGGGUGCAAUGCAACGGAAGUGUGUGUGCCAAUGGAGUAUACCAAAUGUUGUUUUGCUUAUUACAAUUAAAGUUGCUUCUUUGAUAAUGUUAACUGAUUAGAUCAGUUACACUGAGCAGAAACUAAGCUGAGACAAGUGCACAACAUUGAGAGCAGCCCUGCCCUAUACUUCCACCAAGUGUUACCCCGCGAACACGUCCCGUCGUCCCUCCAUUGUGAGAUCCUCGUCUAUGGUAGCAAUAGUCUGUACUUAACCUGCUUCCAGAUUUAGGCACUUUCUUGCUGGAUGACAAAUUUUUAUUUUAUCAUGAAACAAGAAUUUUAAUAAAAUAAUUUUAUCUAAUUUUAAAGAUAUUCAGCUUUUUUGAUACAUAAAACUUCUUUAAUUAGGACAUUUCAGCUCAAGAAAGUAAUUAUUUUAUCAGAACCUUAGCCAUAAGUAUUGAAAGGAAAUCAAAGUUUCCAGUGACCAAAGGCUAGCCAAAAUAAGAUUUUAUAAUGCAAAAAUGUGGUAACAGGUAAUGUAUACAGUAUGCGAGAAAAUGUUACUUUUGGGGAAAGUUCAGCAUAGCUUGAAUGUUGUAAUUGGUAGCAUAAAUUAUGAAUAUCAUUGGCUUUGUAUGUGCAUAGGAGUCAGUCAUUGGGCAUAGGAAUAGUCUUUGAGGAUGAAAAUGAAUUUUAUCUUGUAAUGAGGUUAUACGCUUUUGACACUCACACAAUAUAUUACAAGUUCUUUCAUUCCAUCGUUGGUUGCUGACAGGAGAUUGUAAGUAUUUUUACUUGUAUUUCCAAAGAUUAUGUGAUGCCUUGGCACUUUGAUUGUAUAUAAACUAUUGUAUUAAUUUUGAGUCAUUUUGUUGCCAUAUCUUUUGUUGUACAGUUACCUUUAAGUCUGUAAAAUUGUGAUCAUAUUAUUUAUAUUAAUAUAAGAGAUAUGUAUGUACACACACAUAUACAUAUAUAUAUAUAAAUAAAUGCAUAUAUGAAUAAAGAGAAUGAUUUCUGUAAAUUAUGGGAUGAUGUAUAUGUUACCAAUUUUCAUGCCUAUAUGUAUGACAACUUUAUUUUCUACACAAUUAUAUAUUGUUAUAACUAUAAAUCCUCCUCCCCUUUUGUCUUACUUAAAUGUUUGAGUAUCUAAAUAUAAAAGCUGCUAUUCAAUAAUGGAUUACAUAAAUUCAUUAGUUAUUCAAAUUUGGUUUACAAACUGGAGCCUAACAUGCCAAAGCUGUGGAUGCAUCACACAGCACUUGACACCAGACCACCGGUGGGGUGUGUGUGUGUAUGGAGAAUCACACACAGUAUUGUUCAUGCCACCAGUGUUCCCUAACAACUAGAAAAAAAGGACAAACUUGGCAUUGAUGCUUGACAACGAGAAAAGGAAAUACUAUCAAUUUUUUAAAUUUUCCAUCACACAGCUGUGCUUGUGUACAGCGUGAGUGGUGUGCUUCACUGUACAAGAUUAUGCUAUCAUGUAUCAGGGACACGUCAAUGUGACAUACAAAUGUUUACAGGGUGCAGCAAACCACCCACUGCAACAGGCUUCAAAACUGCAUAUUAUAUGAAAAUAAAGAAAUGCAAAUUACACAUAUCUAGUCUGCUGAGGCUUGUUACAUAGAUUUUUAAGUUCUAAUCACAAGUAAAAUUGAAGUAAAUGGAAGUGUGCCAUGUAGAAAUUGACAUUACAUUUUGUGAUUUAGCUUGUCAUCCAGGUUAAGACUUCCCCAUUCAACAUCUAUUCAAUGUUGAGACUAAAGUGCUAUAGUAUAUUUUAUAAAUGACACUGAAAUAUAAUGAUCACCAAAACAUCUAUCAGCCAUUCAUACAGUCUCAGCACAGUAGACUCCUAGUUGUAGAAUAUACAAUUAAUAAAUUAAGUUGUUGUACUCAAUAUGUUGCCAUAAAAAAGUGAGUGGGAAAGACCUUGUCAAAACUAAAGGUGUAGACUUUAUUCAGUAUAUUGAAAAGACUAAAAAUUUUCUGGUAUAACUCCCAAUAUGGGGAAGAUUAUUCAUUGAUUUUUCAAAGUGAAAAUUUUAUUACAAUAAAAUUGGGUUAAAAAUUAACAAGUCCUCAUAAUUUACUGCAAUUAAUUUCCCUGCAUUCUCAUAUAUGUAAGAUAAGAUGAAUAAUAGCAUAUUGCCUUGCUAUACAUCACUGUACUAGGAGUUUACUGUUAAGCUGGUGGGCAGGUCUGAUCCUGGAGGUUCUAGGCCUAUUCUAGAUGAAAAAUAUGCUGCUGUUUAAUAUAUAUACACAUAUGAACUUCAUUUUACAUGCAAAUACUUGUAAAAAGUUAGGUAUCAAUGAGUCCUAUUUUUCAUAAAUUUAUAAUUGAUCUACUUCAGAUUGAAAGUAGUCAGUCUGAGUUUAGAUGAAUAUAGCAUCCAAAAAUUACUAGAAUGGAUGCUUUCUUUCUUUCAAAGGGUUUGUUUAUGAUUUAAUUGGAAAACUGCAAUGAUGUUUAGAGACAUCUCAGCAAACUAAUUUAUGUUGUAGUAUGUGUUUAUCCCUUGCAGUUUGCCCAGUUCUUUGUGGGCAAGAUGUCCCUAAUGCUCCCUGCAUACUCCUCUCUACCUAUUGUAUGAGCUCCUCCACCAUAGUAACCUGACAAGACUUUGUACCUGGAUGAUGUUUGUCCAUCACUUGGGUUCCACACCUACCUGUUAAGGGGAUGGCAUAAUACUGCACCAUUACAACACCUAGCUACCUACCAUGGGGUUUGUCCCACCUGCCUCUCAUCCUCUUGUAAAGACUAGAAUUUGUUGUCAAUUUGAUACUGAAUAUCAAAACCAUUUAAAAUGUCCCUUAACAGAUUUGGAAUAAUGUACAUAAAUCUUGAUAUAUAUAUGAUAGAACAUUCUUGUUAAGGUUUGACACAAGUGCAUCAUGAUGUAGGUCAUCUUACAAAGGAAAAAACAAUCUUUGUCAAAUGAGUCAUAAAUAAAUGCUGAAUUAACUGUUA
Molecule: unclassified non-coding RNA, 9083 nt
Filed under: Portunus trituberculatus (swimming crab)
Lineage: Eukaryota; Metazoa; Arthropoda; Malacostraca; Decapoda; Portunidae
Description: kinesin-like protein KIF13B, transcript variant X14
Source: RNAcentral